AAGUCGUAACAAGGUUUCCGUAGGUGAACCUGCGGAAGGAUCAUUAGAAGGCCUCCUUCACGGGAGGGUUAGGGGCCUUGGCCCCUCGCAGCCGUCCCUCUGGCCGUCAAAAGCCUUAGGUUCGCACGCGUUAUUCUUAAACCAAUUGUGAAAACCUGUUGCUUUGGCGGCAGCCUGCUCGCAGGCGUCAGCCCGUCCGAAGCCCACACAAAACUCUUUCUGUAAACAGUAUUCUGAAAACACAAGUAAAUCGUUAAAA
RNAcentral lists this unclassified non-coding RNA (259 nucleotides) under plant metagenome. RNAcentral describes it as "partial contains small subunit ribosomal RNA and internal transcribed spacer 1". The stretch from base 1 to 46 matches the Rfam family "Eukaryotic small subunit ribosomal RNA", at positions 1786 to 1831 of the family's 1831-position model. The record is from RNAcentral.